RNAcentral lists this ribosomal RNA (468 nucleotides) under uncultured bacterium. Its description in RNAcentral is "partial 16S ribosomal RNA". It matches the Rfam family "Bacterial small subunit ribosomal RNA", at positions 330 to 794 of the family's 1533-position model. The record is from RNAcentral.
GCCAGACUCCUACGGGAGGCAGCAGUGAGGAAUAUUGGUCAAUGGGCGGAAGCCUGAACCAGCCAAGUCGCGUGAGGGAAUAAGGCCCUACGGGUCGUAAACCUCUUUUGCCGGGGAGCAAGGGCGGGGACGUGUCCCGGCCCGGAGAGUACCCGGAGAAAAAGCAUCGGCUAACUCCGUGCCAGCAGCCGCGGUAAUACGGAGGAUGCGAGCGUUGUCCGGAAUCAUUGGGCGUAAAGAGUUCGUAGGUGGCACGUUAAGUCUGGUGUUAAAUGCAGAGGCUCAACCUCUGUUCGGCACUGGAUACUGGCGAGCUUGAAUGCGGUAGAGGUAAAGGGAAUUCCUGGUGUAGCGGUGAAAUGCGUAGAUAUCAGGAGGAACAUCGGUGGCGUAAGCGCGUUACUGGGCCGUAAUUGACACUGAGGAACGAAAGCCAGGGUAGCAAAUGGGAUUAGAUACCCCGGUAGA